Columba livia (rock pigeon) is the source of this 2595-nucleotide long non-coding RNA. RefSeq lists it as uncharacterized. The record is from RefSeq and is a predicted model, not a curated record. The transcript is spliced from 3 exons. Lineage: Eukaryota; Metazoa; Chordata; Aves; Columbiformes; Columbidae.
UGCUUUUUCCUGUGUGCCAUUAUUUUCAUCAAUAGGCCCCAUGACUGCCUUCCUCAUCACCCCUGCCUCAGACUGGCUUCUGUGAGGAAAAGAAAGAACAACUAUUGGAAGAGCAGCAUGACCACUGUACCUCAUAGGGAUGUAGCCCUGAAGGCCUUUGAUUUGUCACUACCUGGAAGCAGAAGAGAAGAAUUUGGACGUCCUUAGAGGGGAGUGUCAAACAUGGCUAUCCAGGGGAAUAUGAUGGAUGAAGACCUAGGUGGACCCAGCUGUACCAAAAGUUUAUCCUGCAGCAUUACCGAACAACAACUGAUGAUAAAGGCACAAAAAUCGUGGGCUACCUUUGAGCCCUCUCAUCACUUCUCUCUGCAUGACUUCCAGUUCUGCCAUACUUUUUCUGAAGAAAGGGCACAAGACCUCCAUCUGAGGAAGUACCCCAUAAUCAGACCCUGCAAUCAUGUCCUGUAUGCUCUCCAUGUUGAGUACAAAUCAGAUUCAUGGACUCUGAGGUUAACAUCACCCAAAGGUCUGCUGGUCCAAGCCCAGGGGCUCUGAGCAAUCUCUCUAUCAAUUAAAUGUUGCAGUUCAUUAAUGACUUUCUUGCAUGAAUGGGUGUCACUGGUUGAGUCAGUGCUUGGAAAACUGUUCAUUCUCCUGUGUGGCUCUUUGCUCGGCUGGGAGUGCUGUCACUCAGCCAUACAUUCCCAAUUGAUUUUGGGUUUUGUGCCAAAUGAACCUGAUCCCCAACCACAGCUGCCGCACGACCUCCCUGCAGCUCCUGGCUGAUGGGGCUGAUCCCAGACCUGGAUGGACCACCUACAGGAUAAGAGGAUCACUCUGUUUCCAGGACUAUUCAGCCUUGUUUUUUUUCUGAGCCUAACAACACAGAGGGCACUUGCGUUGUGGGAUUUCUGCAAGACAUCUGCAGAGAGGAGCCAAGGCAACAACAGCAGAUCCACAGGACACAUUUUGGGCGGUUGCAGCUCAGCCCCAUGUAGGGUGCUUCCUCCCCCUGACCUGCUGUCCCACCACCAGCCUGUCUUCGCCCAGCGCUCCCACUGGGAGCCCUCAGAUGUGUUCCAGGCAGGACAGGGAAAGCAGGCAGGAGAGGUCCCGGGCUGCCCGGGCUCACCGGGCUGCUCCCGGCAGUGCCUCCCCUUCUCCCGAGCAACAUAAGUGGGUUUUCGUCCCCUCCCUUUCUGAGCUGCACACCCUUCCGCUUUGCCCUAAAAACCACACCUGAAUAAGUCACUAGAUGGCAGCAGCAGUCCCAGGAAGAUCUUCCCGAAACGCCUUGAUUUGCUGGGUGUACCUAUCACUAGCUCUCCAGUUUCUCCAAAAAUACUCUCCCACCUUGCAGUUAGCAACAUUCCUGCACUUCCAGUCCCUUGAGUUAAACCAGUCAGAGGGAGUGAAUAGAAAAAGACGUGUUUGAGUCCUAGAGAGGAGUCACUACUCACACUGCAUGAAGCGUAAGCACAACAAAUCUUCCUGAUUCUGUUUUCUAUAUGGGCAGCUGAGCACCAGGUUUAUCUUCUAGCUCUGCCACUGAGCUUUGUGUGAUGAUGGGGGAAUCACUUCACUGUUUCGUGCUUCAGACUCUCCCUGUCAGGUUGGUGUAAGGCACACCGAUAGAGGUUUUGGGAUUGGGCACUGGACAAAAAGCUGUCUGGCAGCACCACAGCAAAGGAUUUGUCAGUGAAUAACCACUAUUUUCAGAGACACACCAUGACCUGAAGGAUCCAGGUUGUGCAGACAGACUGAUGAGGCUGAAGUCUGCAGUGGAUUUCAGCAGCAAUGUGUAUAGGGUUUUGCUGCCCUGAAUCAGAAAUGUGGGCAGGGUUUGAAUCAUUGCAACUUCAAGAAGGGAUAAAAUGUAUAUAUAAUACCAACUUACUUUCAUUAAAUACAUUUUAUUCUCAAGAUCCCCACCGUACUUGCUGCAGAGCUCAUUAUAAACUCUGGGAUAUACUGACUUCCAGGCUGGUGCAGUGUCAAUCCCAGGCAUGGAGGUGGGCGGCUGGUUUAUCCCCUACACAGGAGAAGCACCUUAUAUUUUAGGCAUGCAGCCCCUAUAGGUACCUAACCUAUUUUCAGCAGAUUUCUGCCCUGCACCCAGGUUCCCCCAGACACCAGCGGUAGCUAAGAGAGAGGAGCUCUGAUCCGCAGAGCUGGAUAAAAGGAGCAGGCUGUGAAAGGGAAAUCCUCAGGAUGUUUAGUACUAUUUGCACAAGCAUAGUGGAUGUUAAGUCGGGUUCUGGAAAGUCCUGAGCCUAUUCAGCAUUUGUGGAAACAAGAAAUGAAGGUGCAGAGCACCGUCCCAGAGCAGUCACAUUGCACCUCAUGCUAGGGACUAGAGUGCAAAGAGGCUACUGGGUCUUCUGCCUAGCUGUGCUGUGCCAGGACGCUGUCCCCAGUCCUCCCAGCAACUAUUUAAAAGAUCAAAUCAAAUUACCCCCUGGCUGAAUCUAUCCCAUAUAUCGUUCGUAACAUCCUCCUCCAGCCCCAUUUGCCAGACUCACUGUCUCUCUGCACGGCCAUUAAUGAAUUGCCAGAGCAAGCUGCUGCAACACUGGGCCUCUGUGAAGGUCUGAG